Molecule: ribosomal RNA, 433 nt
Filed under: uncultured bacterium
Lineage: Bacteria
Description: partial 16S ribosomal RNA
Rfam family: Bacterial small subunit ribosomal RNA
Source: RNAcentral
AGCGAACGCUGGCGGCAGGCCUAACACAUGCAAGUCGAACGAACUCUUCGGAGUUAGUGGCGGACGGGGGCGUAACACGUGGGAACGUGCCUUUAGGUUCGGAAUAACUCAGGGAAACUUGUGCUAAUACCGAAUGUGCCCUUCGGGGGAAAGAUUUAUCGCCUUUAGAGCGGCCCGCGUCUGAUUAGCUAGUUGGUGAGGUAAAGGCUCACCAAGGCGACGAUCAGUAGCUGGUCUGAGAGGAUGAUCAGCCACAUUGGGACUGAGACACGGCCCAAACUCCUACGGGAGGCAGCAGUGGGGAAUCUUGCGCAAGGGGCGAAAGCCUGACGCAGCCAUGCCGCGUGAAUGAUGAAGGUCUUAGGAUUGUAAAAUUCUUUCACCGGGGACGAUAAUGACGGUACCCGGAGAAGAAGCCCCGGCUAACUUCGUG